UGGGGAAUUUUGGACAAUGGGCGAAAGCCUGAUCCAGCAAUGCCGCGUGUGUGAAGAAGGCCUUCGGGUUGUAAAGCACUUUUGUCCGGAAAGAAAUGGCUCUGGUUAAUACCUGGGGUCGAUGACGGUACCGGAAGAAUAAGGACCGGCUAACUACGUGCCAGCAGCCGCGGUAAUACGUAGGGUCCAAGCGUUAAUCGGAAUUACUGGGCGUAAAGCGUGCGCAGGCGGUUGUGCAAGACCGAUGUGAAAUCCCCGAGCUUAACUUGGGAAUUGCAUUGGUGACUGCACGGCUAGAGUGUGUCAGAGGGGGGUUAGAAUUCCACGUGUAGCAGUGAAAUGCGUAGAGAUGUGGAGGAAUACCGAUGGCGAAGGCAGCCCCCUGGGAUAACACUGACGCUCAUGCACGAAAGCGUGGGGAGCAAACAGGAUUAGAUACCCUGGUAGUCCACGCCCUAAACGAUGUCAACUAGUUGUUGGGGAUUCAUUUCCUUAGUAACGUAGCUAACGCGUUAAAUCGACC
This 523-nucleotide ribosomal RNA is filed under the name uncultured bacterium. Its description in RNAcentral is "partial 16S ribosomal RNA". It matches the Rfam family "Bacterial small subunit ribosomal RNA", at positions 355 to 870 of the family's 1533-position model. The record is from RNAcentral.